This 821-nucleotide ribosomal RNA is filed under the name uncultured bacterium. RNAcentral describes it as "bacterial SSU rRNA". It matches the Rfam family "Bacterial small subunit ribosomal RNA", at positions 95 to 917 of the family's 1533-position model. The record is from RNAcentral.
CCGGCGCACGGGUGAGUAACGCGUAUCCAACCUGCCCCUUCACCACGGGAUAACCCGGCGAAAGUCGGACUAAUACCGUAUGUUGUCCAUUGACGGCAUCCGAUUUGGACGAAAGGCUUGGCGGUGAGGGAUGGGGAUGCGUCCGAUUAGCCAGACGGCGGGGUAACGGCCCACCGUGGCGACGAUCGGUAGGGGUUCUGAGAGGAAGGUCCCCCACACUGGAACUGAGACACGGUCCAGACUCCUACGGGAGGCAGCAGUGAGGAAUAUUGGUCAAUGGGCGUAAGCCUGAACCAGCCAAGUAGCGUGCAGGACGACGGCCCUAUGGGUUGUAAACUGCUUUUAUGCGGGGAUAAAGUGGCCCACGUGUGGGUUUUUGCAGGUACCGCAUGAAUAAGGACCGGCUAAUUCCGUGCCAGCAGCCGCGGUAAUACGGAAGGUCCGGGCGUUAUCCGGAUUUAUUGGGUUUAAAGGGAGCGUAGGCCGCGCCUUAAGCGUGUUGUGAAAUCCGGGUGCUCAACAUCCGGCUUGCAGCGCGAACUGGGGCGCUUGAGUGCGCAGAAAGUAGGCGGAAUUCGUGGUGUAGCGGUGAAAUGCUUAGAUAUCACGAGGAACUCCGAUUGCGAAGGCAGCCUACUGUAGCGCUACUGACGCUGAUGCUCGAAAGCGUGGGUAUCGAACAGGAUUAGAUACCCUGGUAGUCCACGCGGUAAACGAUGGAUGCUCGUUGUCGGCCCUUUGGGUCGGUGACCAAGCGAAAGCGUUAAGCAUCCCACCUGGGGAGUACGCCGGCAACGGUGAAACUCAAAGGAAUUGACGGA